RNAcentral lists this transfer RNA (86 nucleotides) under Lachnospiraceae bacterium. RNAcentral's name for it is "tRNA-Ser". It matches the Rfam family "tRNA". From Rfam's summary of the family: Transfer RNA (tRNA) molecules are approximately 80 nucleotides in length. Their secondary structure includes four short double-helical elements and three loops (D, anti-codon, and T loops). The record is from RNAcentral. Lineage: Bacteria; Bacillati; Bacillota; Clostridia; Lachnospirales; Lachnospiraceae.
GGAGAUGUACCCAAGAGGCUGAAGGGUCCGCACUCGAAAUGCGGUAGGUCGGAAACGGCGCAAGGGUUCAAAUCCCUUCAUCUCCG